UGAGGAAUAUUGGUCAAUGGAGGCAACUCUGAACCAGCCAUGCCGCGUGUAGGAAGAAUGCCCUCUGGGUUGUAAACUACUUUUAUUGGGGAAGAAACCCUCUUACGUGUAAGAGGCUGACGGUACCCAAGGAAUAAGGACCGGCUAACUCCGUGCCAGCAGCCGCGGUAAUACGGAGGGUCCAAGCGUUAUCCGGAAUCAUUGGGUUUAAAGGGUGCGCAGGCGGUAGUGUAAGUCAGUGGUGAAAUCUCUCGGCUCAACCGAGAAACUGCCAUUGAUACUGCAGUACUUGAAUACAGUUGAAGUAGGCGGAAUGUGUAGUGUAGCGGUGAAAUGCUUAGAUAUUACACAGAACACCGAUAGCGAAGGCAGCUUACUAAACUGAUAUUGACGCUCAUGCACGAAAGCGUGGGGAGCGAACAGG
RNAcentral lists this ribosomal RNA (424 nucleotides) under uncultured bacterium. RNAcentral describes it as "bacterial SSU rRNA". It matches the Rfam family "Bacterial small subunit ribosomal RNA", at positions 355 to 776 of the family's 1533-position model. The record is from RNAcentral.